RNAcentral lists this ribosomal RNA (497 nucleotides) under uncultured bacterium. Its description in RNAcentral is "partial 16S ribosomal RNA". It matches the Rfam family "Bacterial small subunit ribosomal RNA", at positions 28 to 507 of the family's 1533-position model. The record is from RNAcentral.
GAUGAACGCUGGCGGCGUGCCUAAUACAUGCAAGUCGAGCGAACGGACGAGAAUCUUGCUUUUCUGAUGUUAGCGGCGGGCGGGGGAGUAACAGGUGGAGAAACUCCCGAUUAGACUGGGAUAACUACGGGAAAAGGGAGUUAAUACGGGGAAUUAUUUUGAACGGUAUGGUUCAAAAGUGUAAGACGGUCUUGCAGGCACUAAUAGACGGAGACGCGCUUCAUUAUCUAGUGGGUGAGGUAAAGGCGUAACAAGGCAACGACGCAUAGCCGAACUGAGAGGCAGAGCGGCCACACUGGAACUGAGACACGGUCCAGACUCCUACGGGAGGCAGCCGGAGCGAAUCUUCCCCAAUGGACGAAAGCCUGACGGAGCAACACCGCGUGAAUGAUGGAGGUCUUCGGAUCGUGUAACUCUGUUAUUAGUGAAGUACUUAUGUGCUAGUAACUGUGCACAUCUUGACGGUACCUAAUCAGAAAGACCCGGCUAACUACGUG